ACGGAAGGCAGCAGUGGGGAAUAUUGCACAAUGGGCGAAAGCCUGAUGCAGCGACGCCGCGUGAACGAAGAAGUAUUUCGGUAUGUAAAGUUCUAUCAGCAGGGAAGAUAAUGACGGUACCUGACUAAGAAGCACCGGCUAAAUACGUGCCAGCAGCCGCGGUAAUACGUAUGGUGCAAGCGUUAUCCGGAUUUACUGGGUGUAAAGGGAGCGCAGGCGGCGCGGCAAGUCUGAUGUGAAAGCCCGGGGCUCAACCCCGGUACUGCAUUGGAAACUGUCGUGCUAGAGUGUCGGAGGGGUAAGCGGAAUUCCUAGUGUAGCGGUGAAAUGCGUAGAUAUUAGGAGGAACACCAGUGGCGAAGGCGGCUUACUGGACGAUAACUGACGCUGAGGCUCGAAAGCGUGGGGAGCAAACAGGAUUAGAUACCCUGGUA
Molecule: ribosomal RNA, 434 nt
Filed under: uncultured Lachnospiraceae bacterium
Lineage: Bacteria; Bacillati; Bacillota; Clostridia; Lachnospirales; Lachnospiraceae
Description: partial 16S ribosomal RNA
Rfam family: Bacterial small subunit ribosomal RNA
Source: RNAcentral